RNAcentral lists this ribosomal RNA (258 nucleotides) under uncultured bacterium. Its description in RNAcentral is "partial 16S ribosomal RNA". It matches the Rfam family "Bacterial small subunit ribosomal RNA", at positions 103 to 354 of the family's 1533-position model. The record is from RNAcentral.
CGGGUGNGUAACACGUGAGUGACCUGCCUUUUAGACUGGAACAACUUACCGAAAGGUGAGCUAAUGCCGGAUGAGUUAUAUAAGUGCAUGUUUAUAUAGGAAAAGUUGGGGAGACCUGACGCUGAAAGAUGGACUCGCGUCCCAUUAGCUAGUUGGUAGGGUAAUGGCCUACCAAGGCGACGAUGGGUAGCCGGCCUGAGAGGGUGGCCGGCCACACUGGGACUGAGACACGGCCCAGACUCCUACGGGAGGCAGCAG